This 90-nucleotide microRNA precursor is filed under the name Canis lupus familiaris (dog). RNAcentral describes it as "mir-8799 microRNA precursor family". It matches the Rfam family "mir-8799 microRNA precursor family". The record is from Rfam by way of RNAcentral. Lineage: Eukaryota; Metazoa; Chordata; Mammalia; Carnivora; Canidae.
GGGGGGAGGCGGGAUCCUGGGCUGUGUCCCCGGCGCCCUGUGCUCCGGGGCUUGUGCUGCUGGAUUCGCGCUCCCGCCCCGCAGCCCCCU